CUCCCAGGAUCCCCGGGGAGGGGGUUGUGGCGUCCCUCGGUCUGUCGCGCCAGCGCCUCGCUCAGAUCCCGGUGGCGGGGCGGCCAUGGCGUCGGGAUGCCGGAUCGGCCCGUCCAUCCUCAACAGCGACCUGGCGGCGCUGGGCGCCGAGUGCGGCCGCAUGCUGGACUCCGGGGCGGACUACCUGCACCUGGACGUGAUGGACGGGCACUUUGUUCCGAACAUCACAUUUGGACACCCUGUAGUAGAGAGCCUUCGAAAGCAGCUGGGUCAGGAUCCUUUCUUUGAUAUGCACAUGAUGGUUGCCAAGCCGGAGCAGUGGGUGAAACCAAUGGCUGUAGCAGGUGCAAACCAGUACACUUUUCACCUAGAGGCUACAGACAAUCCAGGGGCACUGAUUAAAGACAUUCGGGAAAAUGGGAUGAAGGUUGGCUUGGCCAUCAAACCUGGAACUGUAGUUGAAUAUUUAGCACCAUGGGCCAAUCAGAUAGACAUGGCUUUGGUGAUGACAGUAGAACCUGGAUUUGGAGGGCAGAAGUUCAUGGAAAACAUGAUGCCAAAGGCAGGAGCAAACAUGAUUGUGUCUGGCAGUGCUAUUAUGAAAAGUGAAGAUCCUAGAUCUGUCAUCAACCUCCUGAGGAAUGUGUGUUCAGAAGCUGCUCAGAAACGUUCCCUGGACCGAUGAGAGCGUCUACUCAUUCCAAGGCAGCUUGGGUGUGAACGGGUUCUAUUCCAGUAUGGAAACAUUGCUGCUGAACCAGGACUGCAGCACUGAAGAAUUGCUCCUUCACUGCAAGCAGUGGUUUUGCCAGGGCUGGAAAUACAAUCAGCCAGUGCUAUCCCUUAAAUUGACUUAUUUUAUAGCAGAUAACAGGUAUUGGAUGGAAACAAAAUUGUGAGUUUUUGCUUGAAAGGUGUGGAAGACUAAGAGUCUGCUCUGUGCAUUCCUACAAAACUAUGUCAAUGUUUGAAAUAAAACACUGGUGAUAAGUCAUCUUACAACUAGCAAAACUCAUCUGUUAGCUGUUUAUGUGCACUCCAGGAUGAACCAGUCUUCCCCAAGAAAGAACAUCUUUCCAGAAAUAAGUUCAUUAACUUAGACAGGUAUGUACACCCCAAUAAAGUUAUGGAACGAUAUUUCAGUCUCACAGCAGUGGGAAAUAAAAAGUUUGAAAAAUUAAGUCUCUUGGCCUAGUUUUCACAGGCGGUAUCCUUAUGACUAGCUAGUGAAAACUUUCCAAGAUAAAUGAUCUGAAGGUACAGUUGUUAUAUUAGACAUUGAUUCCUGAAGUUUUUACAACAAGCUUCAUUGUAGAAGAGUGGAUUUUGUCACCAGCAGUGAAUAAUAACUUGCCUGCUAUUGUGGGUUAACAAAAUUUUAAUUAUUGCACAGUGAGCAGCAGGGUAUUGUCUCUCAUUUAUACAAAACCACAUGGGGAUCCUAAGCCAGGUCUUUUGCAUUCUAGUUAUUCAGAUGACUAAUCAUGGAUUGCCUGAAGGAUACUACAUUUACCUAUGUCUGGAAGACCAAGCAGCUACUUCAGCUGUUGCCUGUGUAUAAAAUGUAAUAACCAGCAUCCUUGACUUACAGAAGGGCCAGUAGAGAGGAAGUAGGAUAAUUUAGAUGCACAGGGUGAAUCUGCUUCAGCUGUUCAGUUUCUAAGCAACGAUAGUCGAGAGAGGUAGGACUGGUUCAAGAAUUCCUCUAGCUAGUCUCUCUGAAAAACCAUGUUGGAGAUGUAUGUACAAAAAAGCCAAAGCCCCCCUUUAGUGCUGCAUAAAGAAAGUUAUUAGAGGGAACAUUUUUGCACAAUCCUUCCCAGUACCCCAAUUCAAAUGAGAUACUACAGGUGUGGGGGCAGCUUGUGUAAACAUAGCCACUCUAGCUCCCUCAGUAAAAGCAGAUGUGAGGAUGCCACAAAAGUACCCAGGGGCUCAGACAGGCUUGUGAAGCCAGGGCCAAGGCAUCCUCAAUGCUGUUAGUAAGCCAGCUAGAGUUUAAACAGAACCAAGUCAGGGAUAACUGUCAGUAUUGGAUCAUUUGCUCAAACUUGCUGUUCAGCACUUUUCCAAAUAGAGUAUAACUAGCUGCCAUCACACAGUACCCCCAAAACUAUCAGAGAGAAUGUAUAACUGCAGGCAGUCCCGUGUUGUCAUUUAACACCCUUUCAGUUAAAAAAAUACUAUGCUUUGUCCCAAGGAGAAAUAUGUAAUUGAAUCCCUUGUCAGGUCCUAGAUUAGAGCAGUUUGGGGUCCACACCAUUUUUUGUCAACAGGCUUGAGCAGGUGUAAACUGCCAGUCUAGGGCUGCACUUCAGGGGGGAAAACAUACAUGCAGGAAAACUACCUCACCUCCCCAGCAAAGUGGCUGGCUAAUUGUUCCUACUGUAGCACCCCCCCUUUAUAAGUGUGACCUCUUCACUUCCACAGCCUCUUAUUACAGAUAAGGUUAAGGGAAAUGCUAUUAGUCACCAUGGAGAUUGUAAUUAAGCAUAUGCUGAAGUAGGAUUCUUCUGUUACACCUUAAAAAUUGCUCAUUUGCUCACUAUUAGCAAACAAAUAAAAAUGACAAUUUUUUGUCCCAGCAUGUCUUCCUGCUCUUAAAAAUAAGUGAUGUAUAUAUGCUUAUGCACAGAAAACAGCAGCUACACCUCAUCCAUGAAAGUACAUAUUGAACAUGGAAACACUCAGUUUGAUCAGGCAUCCAAAUGGAAAAAGUAUUUCCACAUUAAAACUAACCACACAGGAUCUACAUCACUCAGUCAUGGGUCAAUGAAUAGAGAAGUUUGACUCAAACUUUCAUGCCUAAAUCAGAUGUCCAGACACUCUGCCCAUCAGUCUCGUACCAUUCAAUCUGCCAGACCCCCAGUGAGGAACAUAAUUAGUUGUACUUUUCUAUAACCUCUGUCUUGUGAUUCUUUAAGUGGAUGAAUUCAUGAUGUAAAUACAUUUUCAACAGUAAGUGCAGGGAUAUCACUGGGACUAAAAUGAAAGCCAGUUGAGAAUUAUUUGUCUCAAAACAGGCAAAGUUCCAAAUGGAGAGCCAACAAAGCCAUCUAGACUGUAGUGCCAAAGCAAACUUUUGUGCAUUACUGGAGGUCGAAGAGGUAACUGAUAUUCUGUAACAAGGGAAGGGGCCAGGGUGCCCACUAUCAUCAAUGGAGGAAAAUAUAUAUGACUCCAGAUGUCCAAUUCAAUCCUUAUUUGGAUGUGGGGUCCUCCAAAGGACAGUUCUGUAAGCAAGCUAGCAUGCACCCAAAUAGGGUGAGAAACUAUACUGAAAAUAUGCUCUGCUCACCACAUCUGAGGACUUUCUGCCCUUUCCAUGCUUUGAUGAACGUCGUGGAUCUGAAGGAGGAUGUGAAACCUCUUGCAACAGGGCCAGGGAAGGAGAUAUGGAGACCUGAAAAAAUGCCUUUGAUCCAAAAUGGAUCCUGGAUGAUUCAGACUUCAUUACUAAGUCAGUGUUCCUCACCUGUAGUUCUCCUGAGUCCUGCAUGCAGGGAGUUCAUGUGACUGAUGCCCAGAUCCCAGGAUUGCGCCUCACACUGCCAAAUAGAUCAGACAAGAACAGGAGGCACUGAACAAUCUAUACAGUUGUAUGAUGGGAGCUAUGAGGAUCUGAGCUGCUCCUAUCUUCACUUUGAAGGAGCAGGGGAAUGGAGAAGAAAAGAGCCUCACUCCACACUGCUCUCCAGCUCACAUUCCCAGCAGCAUCCAGAAGACGAGGGAGAGAGAAAUGAGAAAUACCCCAUUCCACUCAGAAACUAGGAAGAAGGGAUAAUAGAGGGGGAAGCAACAGUCUCACAGCCAGUUACUUAUCCAGUGCGUCAUCAUCAUGUAUUAAUGCAACAUUAACAAAUGCAACAGCAAGGCUUUGUACCAUUACUACUUUGUGGCUCCCACAAAGCCAUUAAAAGACCAUGCAGGUCUUCAGCUCUUAAAAGGUACAUACCACUGAUUUGAUGUUACAGACCUGUGAAAGGAAUUUAAGUACUUCUAUUGCUAAUCAAAUCCAGACUAUACACAUUGUAUGGAAAUAACUUUUAAUUUAAAAAAACUUGCAUUGAAGAUUAUUGUAUCAGACAGAGGCAAAAUUUGAGUUUAAUUUGCUGGACAAAUCAGUGUUAAAAAAAGAUUUAAAAUAAAUCAGAAUGUGCAAUAAACUACAACGUAGCAUAGGCAGUAGUGUUGAAACUUGACUGAACUUUUUUCUGAGGUCCAGCGUAUAUUUCCAGUCAGUCAAUCUGACAGGAAAAAAAUUAAGUGACACUACAAACGGGUCAUCUGUCAGUAUUGGAUAUUACAAGCUGAGGAAAAAUGUUGUACAAGAACAGAGACUCCUAUAUAGAUGCCUUCAACUGUUGUACACAGAAAAACUUCCUGCUGACAGUGGUUUAAACAUACGUUCUACUGGUGUCGAAUUAUUGUUCUGCUACAAGAGUACUGCUAGAUCAUUAAUUCUUGUAUGCGUCAUCUUCUGUUAGCAUCACUUGAGGAUGCAGACAAAUUCUAAAUACUGUAAUUCAGAAUGUAUGAGUUUAAACAAACAAUUUGCCUUUAUUUUCUUAGAGUAUAAUGGCUGGGAAUUUAAAAGUCAAUCUGUAUUUAGAAACAUUAUGAAAGGUUUUUUAAAGCCCUUCUGAUGUCCUUAUUAACAAUGUUUUCCCUUCUGGUUAAUCACUCUGCUUUUGCAUACUUGGCAGAACCUUGCAAGGUAUCACUUAGAAAUCGUAACAACUACACUUGGUAAGAUAUUACAGCACACAGUUCUAAGUAGCAUUAGCUACUGCAGGUCUAGGAGUCAGGUCUCCAAGUAUCUGAUGAUCCAAAAUGAAUUCAGAGCUGCAUCUUCAUUUAAUUCAAUCUUCAUUUCCUCACCACUCCUAGGCUUCUCUGCUCCUCAUGUGACUGAAAUAGAAAACUGUCUACCUUUCGUAUAGUAGAGAAAUCAACUAUGGAAAUAAAUAUAGUGGUAUAUUUGUGUGUUAGUGUUUGAGGAUUUCUGCAUGAAACUAACAAUAGAGUUGAAUGACUGACUCAUUUUAAGCCAAAUAUAAGGCUUCUGAAAGAGUCAUUUAAAAACGACUAGUACUUAAAUAUUAAAGGGAUUUCAGACAAGGCAGGUAUUUGCCACAUGCUCAUGCCACCAAAGGAAACCAUUUGAAAUUACCCCCUUCUCCUCACUGUCUUUUCAAGUAGUUUUUCUGUGUUUUGAAGUUGUUUGUUUAAAGGAGUAAAGUGUGUUCUGCUGUCCCAGAAUCCAUCAGAACCAUAAACACAUUUGAAAGAAAAAAAGGAAGAAUAUUAAAGAACAUGGCAAUAUGACAACAGAAAGCAGUAAACUGUGCCAGCUAUUUAGGUGUGCCCACUUUCAACACGGAAUACUAGAUUUCCAGCUUGAAAUAAUUAGUUUCUCUUGUGGUUCUGGAAGAAGAAAGUGUUGCAUUUGGGAUUUUAUCCUGCCUGUUACAAAGCAAGAAAGAAAAUAUAUUAUAUGCUGCUAAUG
This is an RNA transcript of Gopherus evgoodei (Goodes thornscrub tortoise), 5509 nucleotides long. It is a transcript of the gene named ribulose-5-phosphate-3-epimerase, with no coding region annotated. The record is from RefSeq and is a predicted model, not a curated record. The transcript has 6 exons. Lineage: Eukaryota; Metazoa; Chordata; Testudines; Testudinidae.